Megalobrama amblycephala (Wuchang bream) is the source of this 3401-nucleotide long non-coding RNA. RefSeq lists it as uncharacterized. The transcript has 5 exons. The record is from RefSeq and is a predicted model, not a curated record. Lineage: Eukaryota; Metazoa; Chordata; Actinopteri; Cypriniformes; Xenocyprididae.
GAAUGAAUGAUUCAGUGACUAGGGCUGUUGCGAUUACCGCAAUAUUGUAAUGCCACAAUACUAAGAUACUCUCAUAACAUUAUGCAAUUGUAAUUGCGGUGUAAAUGCAUUAAUACCACCUCUGAGCAGCAUUAAACUGUCAGUGUAAAUACAUCUUUUUUCAUUUACAUCUUUGUAUUUAUGAAAAUUUGGUCUUUUGUAGAUUAGAAUUAUGAAUUAACACAAUUCUGCACGGUAUCAUGAUACUUCAGCUGGUAUGGUAUCGUAAGAUACGUUUACGGUGUCAUGACAACCCUAGCCUCUAUGAUAGCAUUAAUAAUAGUGAUGUUUCCAUAGAAAAAAAUCUUUUUCAUGUGCAGCUCAAGUCAACAGCGGAAAGGUCACAAGAGUCACAAGAUACCUUCUUAAUCAACUCCAAAUUAAAGCACCCAUGUCUAGAGGGUAACUAUGCCCCCAUACUGUAUUAGUCAGGGGGCUGUAUUUAAUCAAAAAAGCUUAUGAAUAUGGAAAAGUUGAACCAUUUCUAGGAACCCUCAGUCCAGGUCAAAAUUUUCAUCACUUCCCAUCUGUGGUCCCUCAACAGUGUGUUCAAACAAGACCAAUAUCUCCAUAAUAAUAAAUGUAUCUCUACUUUAUGGCUCUCUUGUAAUAACAUCUUUCCCCAGUGGAUGUCAGAUAUCAUUUUGUAUGCUUACGCACAUUGAGUAAAAUAAAGUUGCUAGUGGGGAAUCGGUCCUUGCUCAUGAGGGAUCCAGGCACGGCGGCCGCUCUCAGAGCUGGCAUAGAUGGCAGCGGUUUAAUUUGAUUAGCUGUCCUGUGAGACCUCACUAGUGUUUAUUAGACUGCCUGGAGGAAGUACCGAGAUUGCAAGCUGUCUGAAUCAAACCUGUCAGUACACCUGAAAGUUAAGGUGUUCUUAACAUGAGACAUCAGUUCAUAACUGACAACUUCAGCAAAUGAGCAUCUGUUGCAACAACAGCGAGAAACGAAACAUUAAUGCAUCACUGUCACAUGUGCACACAAUGCAGCUAUGCAAAGAGUCUGAAACUGAAAGAUGUUUAAAUGGCGGAGCAAGUUAUUGUAUCCUCAUGAAAGAUUACAAAAGAAGACUUUUUUUAUUUGAAAUAAUGUGCACCAAUAAACCAAGACCAAGGACGUGGAGCUGUUAUGAGCCAAACAACAAAGGAGCAAUGCACGCAAUUUUUAGAGGGAAGACUCCAGGCGACCUCUUAGUCUCAGCGGGGGGAGGAUGAGAACAAAGGAUAACACAAAAUUGAGAGUGUUUGUGUGAGAAAUGCGCACAAAAGAAUCACUCUGUGAGUGUGUGACAUCAAGAGCUGCGUGCAGUCAGUCGAGGACAGGAAGAUGAAGUCACCUGACAUCAUCCAGACUGUAAAUAAAGACUCACCUGAAAGAUCUCAGGAGACGGUACGCCUUCCCCAAGUCUGAAACCCGUCUGCAGAGGGGAGCCACGGCCAACUCCAUCUGUAACACAUGCAUAUGGGAUGUUUGCUCAAGGGGGAGUCAAUGCUUUCUAAAUAGAUACAUAAGAAUUUGACAGUGAAACUUAAACAUGGUGUCAACCUGAUGUGUCUAAAGUUACCAUAUACUUACUUUAGCCGCGUUUCCACCGCAGGAACCAGGGUCUAAAUUAAGUUCUGGGGUAAAAAAUUCCCCCUCAGAAAGUCCCUGCUCACGAGGUAGUACUUUUUUUAAAGUUCAGGAGCUUUUGGGGGUGGGACUUGGGCGCUGAACAAGCUAUUUGGUUAUUGGUUCAUGCAGCAUUUUAUUUUAACCACCAUUUUUAAAAGUCUGUUGCAGUGUGUGCAGUAAGAGUUGUUUGCUAUUCGAAUCAACAAUGGAGUUUAAAAAUUACGACCGAUGGACCGACGACGAUUUUCAGGCUUUAUUAAGCUUGCAUGCGGAGAACAAAAUCCAGUGGGAACUGGAAAGUCGCAUGCAGUCCUACGUCACCAGACACUUCUUCAUGUUACUUUAGACCACGAUGGAAACGCAGACCGAAACAGGUCUGGGGGUUAAAAGCUCCUGGGACAAAUUGUUCCAGAAAGCUAAUGUAUGACAUCAUUCAAGACAUCAUCAUUUUGGACAGCCCCAUGUCCUAUAUACUGAAAGAAAAUUUGAUACAGAUCUCAAACAACGAGGAAAGCUAAAGAACGUCUUAAGAAGGACCACUUUUAUGGUGUUUUUUUGGUCAUUUUGAAUCUUGACAGCCCAUGUUCCCCUUUACUUUGUUUCAUGGGUGAAAGAAAGUUGGAUACGAAUUUGAAACAUGAUGAAUUCCCACUUUUGAAUUAUUUUAAAACCCAGCACCAAAGGAGGAAAACCAUUAGAUUGUGAAAGAGAGACGAAUGAGGAAGGCUGACCACCAUUUUCCUCACCUGAGCAAAAUCGGCUGCCAACCUCAUCUUCCCGCCCUCUCCGAGUGGACGCAAGAGACUGGCAUGGCGGAUGAAAAGGGCGAUGGCGCGCUGGGCGAUGUUCUCUGUACUGUCGUACAGGAAGUCCAGACACUGCAGUGGGCGGAAGUAGUCAUUCAUCACGCGUGCGAUGAAGCCCUGCAGCUCACGCAUGUAUAGCGAGCAUGGCACGUCUGGACGACCCACUGGUAGAGGACUGGGGGCACACAUACAAGAGUAGUGUACAGUAAUCCUGUAAUGAGUGCCCGACAGCAGGGACAGAAAUAAAGUCCACGAAGCCUGACUCCAGUGGCCCUGAGGGAAAGAGAGAUGUGGACAAAAGGAAGCCUCGCUGAAUUAUAAGGGUGAUGGUUUAAAUGUUAUCAAACGCUGGCACAUCACCCUCUGUUGUAUUAGCUGGAGCACACAGACCAACGAAUGAGAGACAGAGCAAGAGACAACGAGAGAUGAAUGCAGAAGAGAGUCUUCAGGGAAUGUGUCCUUUAUAAUAGUCAAAAACACACAUGUAUAUCGCCACAUCAUGAGGGUGUUCAUUUGUCAUCAUGAAUAUUCAGUCUUUCAGUUCAACACAAAUAACUGAAUGGAGAUUUGUAAAGCUUAAAGACUGAACAUAAGAAAAAAGUCAAAUUAAAGUCAAAUUUGAGCAAAACAAAUUUAGCAACUAGUAUUAAAUUGUAUCACCCUGUCAUUGUAGCAUUGUGAAAUCAAAUUAAUAAAAAAAGUGCAGUGUUACCAUACAUUUUUUUAAUGGUAAAGAAAUUUGACAACAGCACACCCAUCACAUUUUCUUGCUUUAAGAAACAAUUUUUGUUAAAAUAUGGUGAGCUGAGAGACCUGAUAACAGAACUGCCCUCAACAAGACUAAACAGGGCACACAAUCCCAAAUGCCAUGUUAGUGUUUGAGAAAAAGCCCACAAGGAGAGAACACAAUCUUUGUACAACCAUAAAUCCCAAUUUUGACAA